Molecule: long non-coding RNA, 890 nt
Organism: Mytilus californianus (California mussel)
Lineage: Eukaryota; Metazoa; Mollusca; Bivalvia; Mytilida; Mytilidae
Exons: 3
Source: RefSeq, a predicted model, not a curated record
GUUAUACGUUGAUUUAUUCGUUAUCAUGUGUCCAUUCGUCUAAAAAUAGGAUUGUUGGAAAAUAACAUCACAUGACCAUUAUGAUAUUAUUGUCGUUUUGAUUUACAACUUGAGACAAAAAAUUAGAAUCAAAGAAAGAUGAGUCAAGGCUUUUAUCAACAAGGUCCAAACUACGGUUCAGCCCCUCCAUAUGGACAACCAGCAGGAGCAUAUGGUCCACCAGCAGGGGGUUAUGGUCCACCAGCAGGAGCUUAUGGUCCACCAGCAGGGAAUUAUGGUCCACCAGCCGGAGCUUAUCAGCCACAGUACCAACAACCAACAGUAGUAUAUGUAGAAGGGAAAACCCAAGAAGACCGGGACAGAGAAUCUGCCGAGGAUUGUUGUCUGUUUGCUGCAUGCUGUGCAUUGUUGUGUUGUUGUCUGGCUAAUAAUUGAUCAUUUAUUAUGGAAUUAUUAACAAUAUUUUUUUGUGAAAUUGUGAUAGUUAUGUACAGAACAAAGCCAUUCCAUUCAUUACAGUAUCAUUCUACCGACCUAAGAAAUUACUGAAACUGAUGGAACAGUAUUAAGAAUGCAAUAUUUACAGUUAUCUGCAUAAUAGUCUUUGUUUGUUUGUAAUUAAAUGUUAAUUAUAAUUGUUAAAUAUGUACUGAUUUUAGUGUAAAAUGUUAUUUAUUGUUUUACAAACUGUUGAUUCUCAGUGAUUCUUCAAAUACAAAAGUGUAAUAGUGUAAUCACAUGUUCAUUGACAAUCUGUUUAAAAUUGCUUUCCUUCAAACAAUGGAGAGGAAACUCGUUCAUAAUUGUAUCAAUAAAAUAAUCAACUGUAAAUAUCAGAAGUUGGGACAAAUCAAGCCUACAUGAAUCAAAAGUAAAAGCUAUUUUUUGUA